GCGGUCGUGGCCGAGUGGUUAAGGCAUCUGACUCGAUAUCAGAUUCCCUCUGGGAGCGUAGGCUCGAGUCCUACCGGCCGCG
Molecule: transfer RNA, 82 nt
Filed under: Pollicipes pollicipes
Lineage: Eukaryota; Metazoa; Arthropoda; Thecostraca; Pollicipedomorpha; Pollicipedidae
Description: tRNA-Ser
Rfam family: tRNA
About the family: Transfer RNA (tRNA) molecules are approximately 80 nucleotides in length.
Source: RNAcentral